UACGUAGGUGGCAAGCGUUGUCCGGAAUUAUUGGGCGUAAAGCGCGCGCAGGCGGUCCUUUAAGUCUGAUGUGAAAGCCCACGGCUCAACCGUGGAGGGUCAUUGGAAACUGGGGGACUUGAGUGCAGAAGAGGAGAUCGGAAUUCCACGUGUAGCGGUGAAAUGCGUAGAGAUGUGGAGGAACACCAGUGGCGAAGGCGACUCUCUGGUCUGUAACUGACGCUGAGGCGCGAAAGCGUGGGGAGCAAACAGG
This 253-nucleotide ribosomal RNA is filed under the name uncultured bacterium. RNAcentral describes it as "partial 16S ribosomal RNA". It matches the Rfam family "Bacterial small subunit ribosomal RNA", at positions 524 to 776 of the family's 1533-position model. The record is from RNAcentral.